This is a long non-coding RNA of Cephus cinctus (wheat stem sawfly), 8448 nucleotides long. RefSeq lists it as uncharacterized. NCBI's taxonomy places the organism in Eukaryota, Metazoa, Arthropoda, Insecta, Hymenoptera, Cephidae. The transcript is spliced from 3 exons. The record is from RefSeq and is a predicted model, not a curated record.
AGCGCCUUGUGCUUCGAACCUGCGAAGAAGCUCGACUCGACUCUGAACGUCGACGCGUUAAUGAAGCGGCGUCGGGACGCCAGUCCGUUCGCGCUGGUGCUCAUUGGUUUGAGGAAAUAUCGUGCACGUGAAAAGUCGCAACUAAACGAGAGCUAUUAUUGUGUGUAAUAAUCAUUUUUUAAAAAAUGAUUUUUUUAAAAAGAAAGUGUCGCUGUCUCGUUAAAUCGCUUUUGUUUAUUGUUUCAGAUACUUUAAUGGAAAUCGUUAAUAAAAUAUUUGAAAGGGAUAUCAGUACCUCGAAAAUAAUUAAAAUCGAAUUUAAACGUAUGGCUUAACGAUGACAUCGAAAAAACAGUGUUUGGAUGUUUAAUAUCAUUUUCGUGGGUUUCGAUAAUUUUAUUAAGUGGAUAUACUGUUGAGUGAGGAUUACGAAAUAUCGGCGUUCGCGGUAUAAGAAAAAUAGUCUGUGGGACACGUGAAAACUGUGAAAAACUAAUAUUAUACGUACAGUGUGAAUAUUCGGUUUUGGAUUUAUUGAAAAAAAAAAUAUUGGUGCGACGGGUGACGAAUGAAAGUAGCCAAAAAUCGCGAGAAUCGAAAGAUCCUUUUCGUCCUAUUAAUUUUUUCCUAAUUUUCGUUCUCCCUUCAACUUUGUUUUCUUGCACUUGUUCCUUCUCUCUCGUUGUCACGCAGUCUGGUUUCCCCCCUGAACUUACUACUGAACUUAUUUAUCAUUGUCUCCCAUCAAUAAUCAUCAGCGUUGAUCUGAACACUAUGAGAAUCAUAUGGACGUGCAAAACAGCCUCGAUAAUCGCAUUGUGAAUUUCGCAACCACGCUGGACCACAGGGACACAAUCAUCGAGAAUUUCCUGUUAACGGUCGAUGCUGCGCGCCCGAUUUGAAAUUUCGGUGAAACGUGGAUUUUGCGACUCUCGCGAGAUCGGCGAACGUUAAUAUUUUGAAGGAUAACAUUGACGAUGUAACAACACGUUAAAUUUGCGCAACGCGGAAGAGCAGCGCGAAUCACGCGUUCGAAAUUCGAAUGUCAAUAUUACGUAAUGACGUAAAUAAAAGAAAAAAAAAGAGCAAAGUAAAACGUGGAUCAAAAGAGAAUAGCGAUGGAAUUUAAUUUUCAAAAAUUUGAAAAAAAAAUUAUCUUUUGUACUUCUUUCUUGUUUUGUUUCGUAUGCUAAUACACUCGGUGCUACCGUCGCCAUUGCUGCCACUACACAAAAACAGUCACGCGAUCAAUAUGCUAAUUUCGCUGUAAUUUUUGUUUUUCAUUUUUUUUUUAUUUUGUUAUUUGCCCUUAUUUUUUUUUUCGUUCCACUUUUCCUAACUUUGUCUUCGAAGUGGGGAUCCUUAAUUGUUUAUAACAAACAUGAAUUUUGCAUUUAAAAUAAAAGACGUAACCAUGUCGCUCAACAUGACAUCGGUGCAUGGCACAGACAGCGCGUCGCGACGCUUCGACAGUCACGCGACACUUUUUAAAACGACGGAGGCGCCUCGCCAGGCUUUGAGACGCACAACCUGCGACUUUCAUCAAAGAGAGAAUAAUUCGUCCUUGGAAACGUAAUGUAGCCGCCGAGCGAUACGAGCGAAUUUGAAGAAAACAAGAAAAAGAGAAAAAUACUUUAAAAAAAAAAAAAUAUAGAACAAAAAAGCAGGAGUGCAUAUGAAUUAAAUAAAAUCGACUAUUUCGGGAAAGAUUUUCCCGGAACGAUUAAACGCUGGUUAGCGGGUCCAAAAUACGUAGAAUAAUGAAAAUUCAGUGUGUAUAUAAAGGGAAAAAAGGGUAAACUAAUCCGUGUACAAUUCUAGUGGUGAAAUAUCGUUUAAGAUCUUCUUCUUCGUGGUCCAAUAAUAAAAGAAAAAAAAUAAUAAUAAUAAAAGUACAUUCGUAUUUCCUCGCGGUCCAAAAAAAUAUAGACACUCAAUCUACUGUCCAAAAUUUAUUUUGUAUGAUCCUACAAUAUUUACGAUAAACGCAAAAAAAUAAUGAUACGAGCUUUAAUUAAUCAACUAGAAUUCAUAUAAAGUAUAAGUAUUUACUUAUGCCUGUAACGUAAAUGGCGUUUGCUAAUACAAGGAAUUUCAUGAAACAAUACUGAUCCUCGGCCUGGGAUAUACUGGAAUGUACGGAAACAAUUUAUAAUUCGAAAUAUCUCGGAUUAACAGAAACUUGCGAAUUGAGCAUCAAGAAUAACGGAUUUGAUGAACGGCGACCAAAACGUGGAUUCCACAUUUCACCAGAAAAUCAUAGGCAUGGCAUCCUCAAGUAGAUACAACAGCUACAACUGCCUCACUAGCUGGGAUAGUUACGAUCGUAUACCAAGAUAAAAUCUUUGACUGAUCAACAGUCAGGGCGAUUUGGUCUACGAACAAAAGGUACAUAAACACGGAGGUACGUUAACAAGCGUGUUCUGUCGCAAGAAAUCAAAGCGAAAUUUCCUCGCCUUCAGAUUUCAUCGAUUCUACGCCAUUUCAUUCGGGCACGUGGAAUUCCAAAGUUACUGUAGGAAUGUCCUUUGAUAUUUUUUCCAACACCCUUUCGCAAUUCCUUUGACAGACAUUGUCGAUGUCUAUUGCAAAUAUCAAUUUCCCAUUCGUCUAUUCCUAUUGAGUUUCAAGUGUACGCUCUUGGCGUCUAUGAUCGAAAUUUACAGUGGUGGAUAUCAAUAUAAAAAAUUUCAGGACGUUUUCGUUAAUCGGAUGAUUUAAGGACUUCACGGAGUAUUAACGAACAUGUGAACUCGCAUUGUGUCCGACUUCUGUUCGCGUGGCUCGGUCAGACUUGGCAGGGAGGAACUGCCAAAGUCAAGCAGUCGGUAAAUAUUUGACCCGAACCUCCAACCUAACCUAACUUCCUAAUCCCUUUACGAGGACCCCCACUACACCGCACCCUUCCGCGUCCAUCGACCCCUCUUCCAUGACUGUAAUAUCAGGCCAAAAGGUUAGAUGGAAUUCGUCGCGAGGCGUAAGGAACUUUGUGUAUAAAUGAUGACUCCUCGGAAAACGACUUUUCGUUUGAGUCUCUAGUGCCAUCAUAAUGCUCGCAAUACUUCACCACGUACAACCCUUAAGGUCGAUAAGAGAAUCGUUCCGCAUUGGCAAUGUGAAAAAACUGCUAGGAAAUAUCAUACAUAACGAAUGCAGGUACGACGUUUUAGGAAUUGAAAAUGUAAAUUGAAAAAAAUUUAAAUUAAAAAUUAAAAAAAAUUGAAAAAUAAUUUAAGUAUCGAUUGCGCUUUUGUUUCGUGGGUUGCUCUGUAUAGACGGUACUGUUAUGUGAUAUUAAAGCUUGCAGUGUUGGUGCUUGUGUGAAAAAUAAAUUUACAUGUGUUUAAGGUUUUUAUUUUUUAAGUAAAAAUUUGAAAAUUAUUAAUAUUGACAUUUGAGACGAUUUAGCCUAUCGGUGCUGAUAAUCAGUCGGAUGGGCUCAUGGGCAGUAUGUCCUAUUUGAUUUAUUAUUUUUUGCGAUCAUAGCUAUUGCAAUCUUUUACCCAUAAAUGUUUUUUUUUUUAAAUACGUAAUAAUCAUACAUUUAUUUUAGUCAGGAAUUCAUUAAAAUAAUUUCUAGCAAGUCUUACACAUUGUUACAUUACAAGGGUGUGAACAAUACAAAAGAUAACGUAAAUAUCUGUUGCAGGAAAUUGCUCCUCCUGACCAUUGGGUCAGUGAGCAAUAGUAAAUUGAAUCCCUAUUUUAUUCGUGACUCUCAGCCCAAAUAAUUACGUCAGAGAUUUUCAUGCUAAUUAUCUUGAAUAUUUAUUUUUAUUUUUAACAGAAUUCUGCUACUCGCAUACAUCGCAUACUGUCAGCGCGAACACCCUGUAUAUAGCUUGAUUACACGAGAAUAUUAAAUACGAGACACCUACACGUUUUAUAUCGAAUAAUGUAGGAAUUCAUUCAGAAAUAUUUAUGAGCUAUUGGUAUUGUGUAAGUGGCACCUGCUAUUCGUGAUGGAUCUAACAAAAAUUCAUGUUAUUAUCGUCUGACAGCAUUCUAAUUGCCCGGCAAUCGUUACUGUCUCCAUUGACAUAGAAACUGCCGAAUGCAGACGGUGGGGUCAUCAAGCAGUUUCGUUAAGUCAUGAAUCCUUAUAAACUAAUACAAUUCAUCUGGUGGCCUGGGUAAACCCAGUUCUGUCAUAGCCGUUAAUUCUUCAAUUGAACGUGAAAUAAAUUACGUCUGGCCUUGUUUGUACGCAAGAAGCUACUGUUGGAGAAUGUAGUUUUAUUUAUUUUACAUAUACGAUUAUAGAGCCUGAAAAUAUUAUGAUUUUUCAGUACGAAUAGCGCGAGUGGAGUAAAUCUUAAGAAAAUGAAACGAAUACAAGACAAAUAAAACUCGAGAAUAUAAUGUUAUUUAUUCUAUAAGCAUACGAUUAUAAAGCCUAACAGUAAUAUGGGUUAUCGGUGCACGAAUAGUGCGUAGAGUAACUCCUAGAAAAACUAAACGAAUACAAAGCACAUCGAUAUUCUUAACAUGGAAGUAAUAGGUAUACUGCACGUGUGCACACACACGUCCCUUACUAUAGAUUACAUUAUGCUUCGUGAAAGUUGAACGUAGGUCGUCAAUGCUACCAAAUAGCCUUCGAGGCAUAGACUACAUAUAUCUAUUGCUAAUUUUCAAGAAAAAUCAAUACCACCUACUGGACAUCAAUAAUGGACAUUACAGCAGUGUUUUAUGUGAGCGCUUUCAGUUUGUGUUUAUUUAAAAAAAAUGUCAAUAGUAAUUUUACAUUGUAUUUUAUUACGCCGGAAAACAAUUUAUGACGUAAUCCAAACUUGUUUAAGUGUUGAACAAUUUGGUAUUAAAAAUUGUCACGAUAUGCUGUGUAGAAAAGGGAAGAGUUUAUACAGUUUGGAAAGGGGCUGGUGUUAUUUAGUUCAUUUAUCUCGGGCUUUUGUUAAAAAGAGAAUUUGACACCAGUUUAUGAGUCAAAGCACAAAUUGCAUAUUUGUUUUUAACAUUGUCGUGCGUUAUUUAAUUUUAUACAUAAAAUCCGUCUUCUAUGACUCAAAAUUUCGAAAAAUAUUUAUCGAAUCUAAUACUUGCGUAUAUUUUCUUUUUUGUUAGAUUCUGUCGUGACAAUUAAAAAAAAAAACUAAUUAUAAAACCAAUUACUACGGCCAAAAAUAACGCAGGGUCUGUCAGACUCUUAAUAGGCAUCAACUUAUACAAAAACUAUAAUGGGCAUUCUAGGGCUAAAUUCGAUAUACGUAAAACACACUUUUUCUUUAAAGGGAUUACUAAUUAUUUGUAAUAAUUAUGCACGUUCGUUAAAAUAAAAAUCAUUUACUUUUUUAACCUAUUACUUAUAUCCCGCAAAGUAUUGGCAGCUUAAGAUUCUAAUAUUGCUCAGCUGCGCCGCAUAAAUUGUUGGCCCUUCUUGGAAGGAUGACCAUUAAUUAACCCUCCAGUAGUCGGGCUACGAACUCACAGUUCCCAUUAAUCAAUUUUUGUUUAACUUUUAUGGCUUCAUUACCUUCAGUUUUCAGUACCUGGUUAACUAUGCUUAAUUGAGUUAAUUAUAUACAAACAAGAUUAAGCAAUUAAUCAAAUUGAUCAUAUUGAUCAUUUCAAACUGAGAGUCCAUGUGCGAAUAACGAUAGGGUGGAUAGCCGAAUCAUCGGCCACGUACUAGUAAUCGUCAGUGUGUGCUUUUACUAUAGCAAAAUCUACAGUACAACACAACUGACGAUUAUUGCUACAUGACCGACGACUGAGCUAUCCAGCUUAUAUCACGUUUUCCAAUUCAGCCUAAAAAGGCUUUGUCAAAUUUUUUCAAUAAUGAAAAUCAUAAUAGCGACACCCCAUCUGUUGAUCUUUUAUUGCAUAAUCGAACGCCAUCUAGUUUUAUUACCUGAAUAAUAAUUUCAUAUGAAAUUACCGUCUUUCAGAGAUCGGAUGCUCAAAUUAUAUCUACAAUAAACAUUUUUUGUCGAUAAGCGUCCACGAAUGAGUGCUGAAUUUAAAAGUUUGUAAUUAAUUUUUAUAUCAACAACCCUUAAAAAAAACUCAAAAAUCCAAUUACAAGAUUUUUGGACAGACGUCUAACCGAUUUUACACAAUUUCUACAAUAUUUAAUCCUUUAACACUGCCGCUCAUGUCACUCGGGCGUCUGCUAAAGUGUGUUGUGUAAGCAUCAAAAAUGUUUAGUAGCACGUGACAACAUUUUUCGGCCUGCACGUGAGCGCUAUAAGACGAUAAAUCCAGCUUGAAGCACCGCAAUAAAUACUGAGCCUGGUGCUGUUUUAGGUGAUUUCUUUUUCUCCCUGUGUUGUAUUUAUCCCCAUCCAGGGUAAAUAAAAAGAAAGCGUAUAGUCAGCUCACGAGUUCAAUGUGUGGUUUUUUUUUGGACAGAUUUAAAGGAAAGAUGUCUGUAUAAAAUCACACGUGGCUUUGCAUUAGUUUUUUCUUACAAAGUAUGCUUGUAUAUAAUUUUUCACUGAAAUAUGUGUAUUUUAUUUCUCUACCUUAGCAUAUAUUUCUGUGACUUUAUGAAAAGCCAUAUAUGGUUUCCUAAGAAUCGCAUUGCUUUGCCAACUGUCAAAAAAAUCUCAAAUAUCCUUUAUAACUUGACACUAAUAUAUAAGCGAACAAUCAUAACGCAAAAAAAAAAGUUUACGUCGUUUCCCCAAUAAAUUACGUUCAGGAUGAAUUCAUCACGCGUCAUUCAGUUAUUCGCGUUGCUGUUUUAUGAAAAUAAACUUAAUAUUGUCGUUAAACUUAAAAUCGUCUUGUUUCAUUCCUUGUGACACAAUAUGCUAUUGUAUCAUGUUCGCCCUUCAAAAACAAAUUACAUCUCUAAAACAUUCGGAUCUUUGCAAUCAAGACAAAAUAUUUAUGUAGGUAUCUAGUUUCAAGUGGACUACCCUGUACAAUUGUUAUUGUAAGCCUAAGCUCUAUCUAAAAAUACGCACAGCAUCAAUAAAUUUGGUAAAUGAAAAUAUAAUCCAAUACUAAAAUACAUAAUUUGACACUAUAAUAUAUACUUAAUUAUUUUUGAUGUUCCAUCGGGAUUACGAGGGAAUAAAAUUAUUUUUCAUACGUACGUGUUGUCACAUGGAUGAGAGUUGGAAACGAGAAAACUUCACACAGAAAAAUAUCAUUAUAGAAAGCACUGUCAAUAAAUUUAUUCCACCAAGUCGAAGCCUUUUCAUAACAUGUCUUUUCGUGCGUAGUCGAAUUUUAAAAAUGAUUUCGUAGAAAAUACUUCAAGUGAAUAUCCAGUGACAACCCUGCGUAUCCAACACUUAUCGCGCUGUUGGACACAACUACCGAUAAAGAUCGAAAAAGGGCACACGGGUAAACUUUUACAUCUGCCAUCGUUACACCAUAUCGCUGAGAAUCGCAUCCGAAUAGCCAAUUUCGAGAGUUUACGGUGCGAACGUGUUGAACAGUCAACAAGAAAAUUUUCCUCGUUUAUAACUUCAGCCGUUUGCCACAGCGAGCGUUAGUAGUAACCCCUACGUCACGUCUAGUCCCAAUGUGGACGGUCCGUAGACAGUGGUGCUCUUUCUUCACGAUCAUUUCUAGUUAGGCCGCUUUUAUACCUAACAGCUGCAUGUUUUUGUAUAAUUGCUCCGGCCUUUUUGCUCCCUGUCCCACAGUGCUUAAUUCUGAACGUUCAGUGCAGAUUCCAAGCUCUAAAGUAAAUAAUAUUAACGAACUUUUUUUCGCUUCCACAUAAUACGCCAUUGAGCAUUAUCGAAGCAACGGAGUCCUGCAAUAAUUCUACAGCCUGCGAGCAAAAGCAUUGUCAACGCGAGGCAAGUAAAUAAAGUAUUUUUCCACAACACAAGGCAGCAUCGUCAACCUAAAGUCCGACGAGAAUUUCCAUUCUCACUAAUUACUUAAUAAAACUAUUACUAAGAAAUUGAAUCUCAUUCAAACUAGUUUCUCUUCAAAGGCUGCCAACCAUCCAAUCACUGAUUUUCCUUUCCGCUAAAGUAAUACUCCAAUCAGCGUGAUCGAUAGAGUCUGCCUCAUCCAGCUAUUGAUGUGUUACAUCAUCAGUCAAUCUUCGUAAUGAUACUAUCAGUUUGAUCGUGUGUUGUGGAACCACGUGCAUAGUUUAAACCUACCCGUUCGGAUUAUAUUGCGAAAUUACAACUAAGAAGCGAAUAGGGGUUUGCGUGGAUUAAUGGCAGGUUUUCGAAGUUCAUUAGGUAACCGUUCACAUGGGAGUUGUACAACGUUCAAUGAAAAAGAAGCUUAUCGCAUAUACAUGAAAAUUGUUGUACGGGAAUCUCUUUUACUUUAAACCUGUGAAUAUUUAUGUUACGAUUCGUUGGCUGGAGUGAGUGUGUUAUAGGUAAAUUAUCAUUAGGCAAUGACAAGACGAGAAAAUAAUUGCGCGGAAAAAGAAAUUUUUCCGUCUAUUUGAAAUUUGUUUAUUAACAGUAAAUUUUUGUAUAGUUUAUACGUGAUACUUUUGUU